GGGCCCAUAGCUCAGCCUGCUUAGAGCACAAGACUCUUAAUCUUGGGGUCAGGGGUUGAAAUCCCCUUGGGCCCA
RNAcentral lists this transfer RNA (75 nucleotides) under Nanobdellota archaeon. Its description in RNAcentral is "tRNA-Lys". It matches the Rfam family "tRNA". Rfam says of the family: Transfer RNA (tRNA) molecules are approximately 80 nucleotides in length. Their secondary structure includes four short double-helical elements and three loops (D, anti-codon, and T loops). Lineage: Archaea; Nanobdellati; Nanobdellota. The record is from RNAcentral. RNAcentral also lists the same sequence under 2 other names.